GAUGAACGCUGGCGGCGUGCCUAAUACAUGCAAGUCGAGCGAACGGACGAGAAGCUUGCUUUUCUGAUGUUAGCGGCGGACGGGUGAGUAACACGUGGAUAACCUAUCUAGAAGACUGGGAUAACUCCGGGAAACCGGUGCUAAUACCUGCUAAUAUUUUGAACAGCAUGGUUCAAAAGUGAAAGACGGUCUUGCUGUCACUUAUAGAUUGAUCCGCGCUGUAUUAGCUAGUUGGUAGGGUAACGGCUUACCAAGGCGACGAUGAGUAGCCGGCCUGAGAGGGUGACCAGCCACACUGGAACUGAGACACGGUCCAGACUCCUACGGGAGGCAGCAGUAGGGAAUCUUCCGCAAUGGGCGAAAGCCUGACGGAGCAACGCCGCGUGAGUGAUGAAGGUCUUCGGGUUGUAAAGCUCUGUUAUUCGGGAAGAAAAUAUGUGUAAGAAACUGUUCACGUCUUGACGGUACCUGAUCAGAAAGCCACGGCUAACUACGUG
RNAcentral lists this ribosomal RNA (497 nucleotides) under uncultured bacterium. Its description in RNAcentral is "partial 16S ribosomal RNA". It matches the Rfam family "Bacterial small subunit ribosomal RNA", at positions 28 to 507 of the family's 1533-position model. The record is from RNAcentral.